AAAUCUCAACCAUUUGCUUUGAA
This 23-nucleotide microRNA is filed under the name Cordylochernes scorpioides. Lineage: Eukaryota; Metazoa; Arthropoda; Arachnida; Pseudoscorpiones; Chernetidae. The record is from RNAcentral.